Molecule: non-coding RNA, 1629 nt
Organism: Camellia sinensis
Lineage: Eukaryota; Viridiplantae; Streptophyta; Magnoliopsida; Ericales; Theaceae
Source: RefSeq, a predicted model, not a curated record
CAGCCCAAACCCAACUUGCCAAACAGCCCCCAUCACUCUCGUAAAACCAAAAUCCAAACAGAAACACCCGAAUUCACCCUCACCAACCACAAACUGCUACACAAACGCCAACAGAGAGAGAGAGAGGCGGCCGCCGCCAUCGCCGCCAGCAAAUCAAACAUGUACAGAGACGUGUCGGCAUGCAACACAUACAAUUACGGCGACGCCCUCUACUGGGACGCUCGUUACAUUCAGGAAGGCGGUUCCUUCGACUGGUACCAGCGUUACUCUGCCCUAGGCCCCUUCGUCCGCAAGUACUUCCCCACCUCUUCUCGCGUCCUCAUGGUCGGUUGUGGCAAUGCCGAUUUUAGCCUAAAAAAGGCUAAAAACUUUCUUGCCGAACACCCCCAUUAUGUCAUUAGAGAAGGUAAGUAAAUAUUGAAGCCUCUAAUUCAUUUUUGGGACAUUCUAACAUACACACCCUUGUAAAGGGUGUACGGUAUGCACCCUUAGUUAUGCCAUUUUUUUGUUUAGCUAUGACUAAUUUUCUUCUUUAGUUAUGAAUCAAAAGUUCUUUAGUUAUGCCUCAUGCUGUGUUUAGUUGGGACUUUUUUUUUAAUUAUGAUUUAGAAAAUAUGAAGUUAUGCCAUUUUCUCAUUUAGUUAUAAAGUACAGAUAGUACACACCCUGGUUCGCUUUUAUUUUUUGGUACCUUUUCUUGUGGAGCCAAAGCUAGUUUAUGCUUCUAAUGGGUUAACUUUUUUGUUUUGUUGCUUUGAAUCUACCAUGAAAAAAGUUGAUUCAUGCAAAUGGCUGUCUAUAAUUUUAAGGGAAGAAGUAAUAUAUGCUUCUCAAGGAAGCACGGGUGUGGGUGUGAGUACGGUAUAAGUACGAGUGCGGGUACGCCGAUUCGGCAAAACUCAAAAAAAGUAUGAUACGGGUACGGCUACGGUACGCUGAUAUAUAUAUAUAUAUAUAUUUGAUAUAAUUAUGGUUAAAUGAUCCAACCUACAAAUUAAAAUUAAAAUUAAAUAUCAAAACUAAAAAGAGAACUAUUCAUUUUCCUAUAAUUUAAAAUCAUUAAGAGUUAAAAAUGUGAAAUCUCUCACUUUGACAUGUUAUGCACUGUGAAUUUGUUAUCAUAAUUUAUUUUUAAAAUCUUUCUUUUUGCUCUCAUCAAUUUGCUAUUUUUAUAUGGUGAGACCAAAGAAAUAACAGGAGACCAAAGAAGAUUUAAAGUUAAUUGCCAACAGUAAAGGAAAAAAAAUUCUCAAUUGAGGCAGGUUGUCAAUUGCAAUUUGCAUAAUACAUAAAAUUGCAUCAUUUCCAACCAUUACUAAUCAACUAAUACCGUAUCAAUUUUUAAUAUUUUGUGCAUAAACUUUAAAAGUUUGUUAUGAUUAAAGAUUUUAUAAAGAAAUUCUAGGAGGAUCUGAAGCAAAAGCAUAAUGCAUAGUCAUACGUAGAACUGCCAUUUAUGGGCCUUGUUAUUUUUUUUGUUCAAAUUGCUUUUUAAAAAUAUCAAAAUCAUUUGCUGAUAUGCUUAUAUAAUUCAUACAAAUAGACAGGACAGUAGAGAAACAUCAAAAUUGCUGAUCUGCAAGGGCACUAAAAAAAAAAAAUAAAAAAUUGCUGAACCAAAAAAAAAAA